UAGGGAAUAUUGGACAAUGGGGGCAACCCUGAUCCAGCCAUGCCGCGUGAGUGAAGAAGGCCCUCGGGUUGUAAAGCUCUUUUGUCCGGAAAGAAAAGCAUUCGGUGAAUACCCGGAUGUUCUGACGGUACCGGCAGAAUAAGCACCGGCUAACUUCGUGCCAGCAGCCGCGGUAAUACGAAGGGUGCAAGCGUUACUCGGAAUUACUGGGCGUAAAGCGUGCGUAGGUGGUUGUUUAAGUCUGAUGUGAAAGCCCUGGGCUCAACCUGGGAAUGGCAUUGGAAACUGGGCAGCUAGAGUGCGGUAGAGGGUAGUGGAAGUCCCGGUGUAGCAGUGAAAUGCGUAGAGAUCGGGGGGAACAUCUGUGGCGAAGGCGACUGCCUAGACCAGCACUGACACUGAGGCACGAAAGCGUGGGGAGCAAACA
RNAcentral lists this ribosomal RNA (427 nucleotides) under uncultured bacterium. RNAcentral's name for it is "bacterial SSU rRNA". It matches the Rfam family "Bacterial small subunit ribosomal RNA", at positions 355 to 774 of the family's 1533-position model. The record is from RNAcentral.